This is a non-coding RNA of Nematostella vectensis (starlet sea anemone), 86 nucleotides long. NCBI's taxonomy places the organism in Eukaryota, Metazoa, Cnidaria, Anthozoa, Actiniaria, Edwardsiidae. The record is from Rfam.
GCCUCGUUAGCGCAGUAGGCAGCGCGUCAGUCUCAUUCUCAAAUCUAGAAAUCUGAAGGUCGUGAGUUCGAUCCUCACACGGGGCA